UCAAUCAUAGCUCAGCUCGUAAAGCAUGAGUCUCUUUAAUCUCAGGGUUGUGGGUUCGAAUCCCAUGUUUGGUCAAA
This is a non-coding RNA of Podarcis lilfordi (Lilford's wall lizard), 77 nucleotides long. The record is from the annotation of a GenBank genome assembly. Lineage: Eukaryota; Metazoa; Chordata; Lepidosauria; Squamata; Lacertidae.